Molecule: ribosomal RNA, 432 nt
Filed under: uncultured bacterium
Lineage: Bacteria
Description: bacterial SSU rRNA
Rfam family: Bacterial small subunit ribosomal RNA
Source: RNAcentral
CGCGAAGAACCUUACCCACCUUUGACAUGUACGGAACUUGCCAGAGAUGGCUUGGUGCUCGAAGGAGAGCCGUAACACAGGUGCUGCAUGGCUGUCGUCAGCUCGCGUCGUGAGAUGUUGGGUUAAGUCCCGCAACGAGCGCAACCCUUGUCAUUAGUUGCUACAUUUAGUUGGGCACUCUAAUGAGACUGCCGGUGACAAACCGGAGGAAGGUGGGGAUGACGUCAAGUCCUCAUGGCCCUUAUAGGUGGGGCUACACACGUCAUACAAUGGCUGGUACAAAGGGUUGCCAACCCGCGAGGGGGAGCUAAUCCCAUAAAGCCAGUCGUAGUCCGGAUCGCAGUCUGCAACUCGACUGCGUGAAGUCGGAAUCGCUAGUAAUCGUGGAUCAGAAUGUCACGGUGAAUACGUUCCCGGGCCUUGUACACACCG